CAUGCAGUCGAACGCGAAAGUCCCCUUCGGGGGAUAAGUAGAGUGGCGUCCGGGUGAGUAACACGUAGGUAAUCUACCUUUGGGUGGGGAAUAACAACGGAAACGGUUGCUAAUACCGCAUAAUGCAGCGGCACCACAUGGUGACAGUUGUUAAUGCGGGGGAUCGCAAGACUCGCGCCUAAAGAGGAGCCUGCGGCGGAUUAGCUAGUUGGUAGGGUAACGGCCUACCAAGGCGACGAUCCGUAGCCGGCCUGAGAGGGCGGUCGGCCACACUGACACUGAAAUACGGGUCAGACUCCUACGGGAGGCAGCAGUCGGGAAUUUUGGGCAAUGGGCGCAAGCCUGACCCAGAACGCCGGUGAAGGAUGAAAUCCCUCGGGAUGUAAACUUCGCAAGAACGGGAAGAAUAAGUGGAAGUUAAUACCUUCCAUGAUGACGGUACCGUUUGUAAGCUCCGGCUAACUCCGUGCCAGCAGCCGCGGUAAUACGGGGGGAGCAAGCGUUGUUCGGAUUUACUGGGCGUAAAGGGCGCGUAGGCGGCCAGUGCAAGUCAGUUGUGAAUCUCCGGGCUUAACUCGGAAAGGUCAACUGAUACUGUCGGUAGACGUGCGGAAGGGGCAACUGGAAUUCUUUGGUGUACGGUGAAACUGCGUUAGAUAUCCAGAGGAACACCUGGGCGAAGGCGGGUUGCUGGGGCCGACACUGACGCUGGAAGGCGCCGAAAGCUAGGGGAGCGAACGGGAUUAGAUACCCGGUAGUCCUAGACCUUAAACGAUGA
Molecule: ribosomal RNA, 778 nt
Filed under: uncultured bacterium
Lineage: Bacteria
Description: bacterial SSU rRNA
Rfam family: Bacterial small subunit ribosomal RNA
Source: RNAcentral